Molecule: transfer RNA, 57 nt
Filed under: Armillifer agkistrodontis
Lineage: Eukaryota; Metazoa; Arthropoda; Ichthyostraca; Porocephalida; Armilliferidae
Also listed under: 1 other name
Description: tRNA-Lys
Source: RNAcentral
AACUAGAACCUCUGGAAUAAAACUUUUAAUUUUAUAAUGACUAAUAAUCUCUAGUUU